AAGAAAGUGACAGAGCGGUUAUGUGACUGGCUAACAACUAGUUUACGGGGGUUCGAUUCCUUCCUUUCUCG
This 71-nucleotide transfer RNA is filed under the name Pangasianodon hypophthalmus (striped catfish). RNAcentral's name for it is "tRNA-Ser". It matches the Rfam family "tRNA". Rfam says of the family: Transfer RNA (tRNA) molecules are approximately 80 nucleotides in length. Their secondary structure includes four short double-helical elements and three loops (D, anti-codon, and T loops). Further hydrogen bonds mediate the characteristic L-shaped molecular structure. tRNAs have two regions of fundamental functional importance: the anti-codon, which is responsible for specific mRNA codon recognition, and the 3' end, to which the tRNAs corresponding amino acid is attached (by aminoacyl-tRNA synthetases). tRNAs cope with the degeneracy of the genetic code in two manners: having more than one tRNA (with a specific anti-codon) for a particular amino acid; and 'wobble' base-pairing, i.e. permitting non-standard base-pairing at the 3rd anti-codon position. Lineage: Eukaryota; Metazoa; Chordata; Actinopteri; Siluriformes; Pangasiidae. The record is from RNAcentral.